This is a small nucleolar RNA of Limanda limanda (common dab), 306 nucleotides long. The record is from RefSeq and is a predicted model, not a curated record. NCBI's taxonomy places the organism in Eukaryota, Metazoa, Chordata, Actinopteri, Pleuronectiformes, Pleuronectidae.
GCCCAAUGAUGAGACCAAGGCGAAUACGAGCUCACUGAAUGAGAGCUGGGUUCUUCUUUGCCUUAACUGGCAGGUAAUCUUGGCAGUGCAGGGGAGGUUUCCUGCUCUGCUGUAAGGGUCUGCCUACAGUGUUCUGGCUCAUCCCAGAGUAUUCCUCAACAGUCACAGUGGAGUAAUAACUGGGAUGAUGCCGACAGUGCGUGUGUUGUGUUGUGUGUGUGUGCAUGUGUGAAAAGGUGAGAAGUUCACCCAGCUCUCUUUGCUCUUCAGUCUGCUAUGAGUAGCUUCUUUGGUAAUCUGAGGGAU